AACGCAAAUCGCGCUCGAGGCCUCGGCCGAGAGCAUGCCUGCCUCAGCGUCUUUUUCCACUCCUCCCCCUUGUCCGACAAGGAUGAAGGGGGGAGCUGGUCGUUUCGAGCUCCCAGAGCUGGAAUCGGCCGAAAGGCAGCAGCGCCACCCCCUCCAUCGAGGGUGACCGAAAGGUGACAGCCCAGCUGGUCCGAUCGGCGCCCGGGGCGCGGUGAGCGCUCGACCGGAGACAUUGACCGAGACUUCGACCUGAGUUCAGGCAAGAGCACCCGCUGAACUUAA
Molecule: unclassified non-coding RNA, 282 nt
Filed under: uncultured fungus
Lineage: Eukaryota; Fungi
Description: partial contains 5.8S ribosomal RNA, internal transcribed spacer 2, and large subunit ribosomal RNA
Source: RNAcentral